CCUACGGGAGGCUGCAUUGAGGAAUAUUGGUCCAUGGCCGGAAGGCUGAACCAGCCAAGCCGCGUAAGGGCGGAAGGCUCAGAGCGUCGCAGACCUCUUUUGCCGGGGGACAAAAGGCCGGACUCGGCCGGUCCUGCGGGUACCCGGCGAAAAAGCAUCGGCUAACUCCGUGCCAGCAGCCGCGGUAAUACGGAGGAUGCGAGCGUUAUCCGGAUUUAUUGGGUUUAAAGGGUGCGCAGGCGGCGAGUUAAGUCAGAGGUAAAAUUUCGGCGCUCAACCCCGACAAGCCGUUGAAACUGGCUUGCUAGAGUGGGCGAGACGUAUGCGGAAUGCGUGGUGUAGCGGUGAAAUGCAUAGAUAUCACGCAGAACUCCGAGUGCGAAGGCAGCAGACCGGCGCCCAACUGACGCUCAGGCACGAAAGCGUGGGUAUCGAACAGGAUUAGAUACCCCAGUAGUC
RNAcentral lists this ribosomal RNA (459 nucleotides) under uncultured bacterium. RNAcentral's name for it is "partial 16S ribosomal RNA". It matches the Rfam family "Bacterial small subunit ribosomal RNA", at positions 338 to 795 of the family's 1533-position model. The record is from RNAcentral.